AAAAAUGCCUUAUUAGUCUUUUAAAAUACCAGGUAGCAGACAAUAGAGCCAAAUACACAUAGAAGUAGCUAUAAAACAAACAAACAAACCUGGGGCUGUCCGUUUGCAUCUUCUGAGACAAUUAAGAAGGAAUUUUUGCUUUGAUUUAAUUUUGUUUUGUUUUAUUUUCCUAUUUUAUCUUAUUAUGCAGGUACUAGGUCAACCCUACUCUACUGUGGGGCCAUGAUAUCAUCCUUUACAGUGUCCUCAAUGCCAGGGAAAAUCUCAGAAGCUAUGGCUGAUAUGCAAGACCCCAGGGCCUGGGUAUUUUAAGUCAAACAUGGAAGACCCUCACUGGGACUAGAGGCAUCUUCCCUUUCCAACCUCUUACCUCAUGAACAAGAGAAUUGCGGCUGGGGAGAUGAUUUGCUUUGACAAUACAGAGGAAAAGCUUCAUCAUCGCUCUUGCCCAAGCAUUGAGUGCCCAACCCUUUAUGACUACCAAAGCUGCAUCUCUUCAUCAUGUGUACCCUGGAAAGGAGGUGGGAGAAAGGAAGAUGAUGAGGUCACCAUGUCAAGAACAUGCAAUAAAUAGAAGGUAUUGAAUGCUGAACCUAGCAGGCACUGGAGUAAGCUCUCGUGGUGAAACAGUGAACAAAGCAAAGAUCCUUACCACGUGCUUUACAUGGGAGUGAGCGAAAAUAUGCAACAAUAAAUGUAAUAAAUAAUUACACUCUGUAAAAUGUUUAAAAGAUCUUAUGGAGGAUGGAAAUAGGAAAACAAAGAAAUUUGGGGUGAUAAAGGAAUGGAUUGCAAUUUCAAAUAAGAUGGAGAGAGUGGGUGGUUGGCUCAGUGGGUUAAGCCUCUGCCUUCAGCUCAGGCCAUGAUCUCAGGGUCCUGGGAUUGAGUCCCACAUCCGGCUCUCUCCUCAGCUGGGAAUCUGCUUCUCCCUCUCUCUCUCUCUGCCUGUCUUUCUGCCUACUUGUGAUCUCUCUCUCUGUGUCAAAUAAAUAAAUAACAACUUAAAAAACAA
RNAcentral lists this long non-coding RNA (1012 nucleotides) under Mustela putorius furo (domestic ferret). RNAcentral's name for it is "lncRNA (ENSMPUG00000024348.1)". Lineage: Eukaryota; Metazoa; Chordata; Mammalia; Carnivora; Mustelidae. The record is from RNAcentral.